This is an RNA transcript of Gopherus flavomarginatus (Mexican gopher tortoise), 2130 nucleotides long. It is a transcript of the gene named zinc finger protein 436-like, with no coding region annotated. The record is from RefSeq and is a predicted model, not a curated record. Lineage: Eukaryota; Metazoa; Chordata; Testudines; Testudinidae. The transcript has 3 exons.
CAGAUCCUCCAUUGCGAGCUGGAAGCCCGGACUGAGCAGCAGGUGUGGGGGCAGAGACCGGCAUUAACCCCCCUGUAUGCCCAACCCAGGUGGGGACUUUCUCUGAUGGCUGGAACCGGGCUCUGCUGACCUCAGCUGGAGACUCCAGAGGAGUGACCCAAUGGUAGUGGAUCACUGAGCACCAGGGGCUCACUUCAGAGAAGGAAAACUUGCAGACAGCAGGUGAAGAGAUGCUGAGUGAGAAUGAAGAGGAGAACCUCCAGUAGGGAACCCCUAAGCAGGUGGAGCUGCAUGGGACGUUAUCGGGAAGAUCUAAAUGGAACGUUUCCAGGAGAGUUGACCACGGAAAAUCUUGUGAGAGUCAUUGCAGGUCAGAGGGACAGCAGAGAAACCAAUUGUGGAAGGAAAUAAUUAAAUACAUUACUUGUGAGGAAGGGUGCAAAGACCUCAAGGAAACCACAGCCCAGCAGGGAAUCCACAUGAGAGAAAAAACACACACACAAUGCACAGCAAAAACUUCAGUUCGAGAUUGCACUCUUUUAGACGCCAGAAAACCCACACAAGAGAGAAACUUUAUAAAUGCUUUGAGUGUGGAAAAAGAUGUAGUGACAACUCGCACCUUAUUAGACAUCAAAGAAUUCACACAGGAAAGACCCUAUAAUUGCAUUGACUGGGAGUUGGUUUAGCAACAGAAGUACACUUUAUUAGGCAUCAGAGAACCCCCACAUAGGAGAGAAACCCUACAAAUGAAUUGAUGGUGAGAAACAUUUUUUCAGAGCUCACAUCACAGAAUCCAGACAGGAGAGAAACCAUGUAAAUGCCAAACCUGUGGGAUACAUUUCAAUCGGCGGUCAACCCUUGUUUGAUAUCAGAGAGUCCAUACAAGAGAGGCGCCCUAUAAAUACCUUGAGGGUGGGAAAAAUUUUAGUGACGACUCACAACUUAUUACACAUCAAAGUGCCCACAUGGGUGAGAGACCCUAUAAAUGCUUUGACUGUGGGAAAAGUUUCCUUCAGAGCGCACAUCUUAUUGUGCAUCAGCGAACCCACACAGGAGAAAUGCCCUAUAAAUGCCCCGACUGCGGGAAAAGCUUCAAUCGAAGUGCAAACCUGGAGAGACACCAGAUAGUCCACAUACGAGAAAAAGCACAUAAAUGCCUCGACUCUGGGGAAAAGGUUAAUGAUAAGUCACUUACUACACAUCACAGAAGCCACUCUGAAGCGAAACCCUAUGUAUGCAAGGACUGUGGGAACAGUUUCAUUCAGAGCUCAGAUCUGAUUGUGCAUCAGAGAGUUCAUACCGGAGAAACACCCUAUAAAUGCCCCGACUGUGGGAAAAACUUCAGUCGAAGUUCAAAUCUUACUAGACAUCAGAGAACCCACACAGGGGAAAAAACCCAUAAAUGCCUGGACUGUGGGAAAAGUUUCAUUCAGAGCUCAGAUGUUAUUGUGCAUCAGAGAAGCCAUACGGGGGAAACGCCCUUUAAAUGCUCUGACUGUGGGAGAUACUUCAGUCGGCUUUCCAACCUUGCUAGACAUCAGAGAAUCCACACGGGGGAAAGACCCCCAUACGUGCCUGGAGUGUGGGAAUAGUUUCAUUCAGAGCUCAGAUUUUCUUCUACAUCAGAGAAUCCACAUGAGAGGGAAAAAACCAUAAAAGCCUCCACUUGUGAGCAAAAUUUUAGUAACAAGUCACGUCUUAGCACAUGCUGGAGAACCCACGUUGGAGAAAGCCCUUAUUAAUCCCUGGACUGUGGAAAAAGUUUCCAUCAGAGUUCAGUUCAUAUUUCACAUCAAAGGAUCCAUAUGGCAGAGUGACUGUGUACGUACUCCGAAUGUGUGAACUGCUUCAUUCACAGCUCACAGCUUUGUAUACAUCAGAUAGUCCAUGCAGGAGAGAGACCCUAUGAAUCAGUAACUCUCAACCUUUCGAGACAGCUGUUCCCUUUUCCGGAGGCUGAUUUGUCUGGCCAACCCCCAAGUUUCACCUCACUUAAAAACAACUUGCUCACAAAAUCAGACAUAAAAACACAACAGGGUCGCAGCCACCAGUACUGAAAGGUGGCUGCCUUUCUCAUUGUUACCCUGUCAUUCUUAAAUAAAUUGUCAGCUGUAGAUUGAGAAACACUGA